This is a long non-coding RNA of Lates calcarifer (barramundi perch), 5939 nucleotides long. RefSeq lists it as uncharacterized. Lineage: Eukaryota; Metazoa; Chordata; Actinopteri; Centropomidae. The transcript has 3 exons. The record is from RefSeq and is a predicted model, not a curated record.
GUUUAAUCUGUGAAAAAACACACAGUAUAAAAGCUUUAGGUGUUAGUGGUCAAAUUUUAUUGCCUCCAGAAAAAGUGCUGUUUCCAGUCAUUAUGAUAAGCUAAGCUAAUUGGCUGCUGGCUCCAGUGCCAUGUUUAACAAACAAGACUUAAGAGUGGCAUCCAUUAAUUAAUGAAGUUCCACAUUUAUGAACAGCAGCAGAUUCACAAGGAGGUAAUUGAGGAUGAUGACAGGUAUCCACACGGGGUGCUGUCACACCAGAGACUAAGGUUCACAUCCUGUCUAUGGUCAAAAAAAGCACUUUGGUUAAGUUUAUGGAAAGAUCAUAGUUUUGUUUGAAUGUAAAUUAAACCAGACCAUGAUCUUUUCAUAACCUUAACCAAGUGCAAUGAGUGACUAAACAUAACCAUAAAAAGGUUAAUGAUGUUGUAGCCAUAACAAACUGAUGCUGUACUACAAGAUCAGAUAUUUUGGUGGAAAACAAAUCCACUGUUAGUGAUCAUGUAACUGAUAUGUUCAGUAUCAAAAUAUUUGCGACUUGCCAAAUACAGAAAUUACCAACAGAUCCUCAUUAUGUUAAUUGAAAAACGUAAUCUGGUCACAAUUAUGUUUCCUAUAAAACACAUUUGCUGUUGCAGUUUAGCUGCAUAUAAACUUAAUUUCUAGGAGGCAGGUUUGGUUUAUAAAAGAAACUUCAGGAAAAUGCUUUAAUUUUUAAAUGAAUUAAAUCUGUCUACUAUCUCACAUCCUUCAACAGGAAAAUACAGUCACAUAUUACAGUGACCAGAGCACUUUCUCCAGAUGCUUUCAGUUGAAGGAAAGUGUUUUCAGUAACUAUGGCAGGAUAAACAAACACCUCCCUGCUUUAUUAAAGCUGUUUUGAACAAAAAAGACUUAUUCAGAUUGUGUGUGGGUCUCAUAUGGUUUGAUGCUCAGUGUGUGGUAGUAGUUCAGCAAAAUGACAUAUUAUUCUAUAUUAAAUUUAGCAAGUUACCCACACAGGAACUCUGCAAGAUGUGAGAAAGAUGUAAUCUCAAACUGACUUCUUCUCACAGCUGUGUGAAACUCAGUGAAGAAACACACCCUGAUUAUUUUGCUUUGCUUUGCUGUUUGUGUCGAAACCACAGCAGUGGUGUUUCAACGUUUUAGUGUUUUAGUUUAUUGUAAAGGCAUGAGGCGUGAGAGUGGAAUUCUCCUCAAAUUUAGGCAAGUAGUUAAGUAGUUAAGUAGUUCCCAAAAUGUCAGACUGUUCCUUUAAGAAAUCUGUGCACAUUAUCGAUGAUAACAUUCUUGCUCUUUUCUCACAGUCAGGUUACAGAUGUUCUGCGGUUCUCCCUUGUGUUAUCUGAGAGCUUACUUUCCUGUCAGAUUAGCAUUUCAGCUUCUUUUAAACACACCACAGUUUUCUCUGUUUUUCUACAAGCAAAAAAAAUCCUAUUCUCUUAUUCAUUAUGUCAAGUAUGAUCGAAAGGCGACCACAGAAAUAGUCAGCAACCUCACAGGGCCUAGUCAAGAAAUAGUUGCAGCACGCAACUCCCUGUAAAACCACAACUUGUUUGUGUUGCAUCACUGAUGUGUGCGACUCAGAAGAGCCUCCCCAGUGAACAUUGUCUCGACCCUCAGACAGUGGAAGUGAGUAGGAGUGGAGUCACUGGCUGAAGGCACAGACAAAGUGCUGGAUCACUGUACUGAAACAUUUCCUCAUCUUUGAGGCACUUUCAGUAACCAGACCCCUUUAACAAUGCGUCCAAUUGUGUUAUUAACAAAUGAUCCGACGAUAAAGUCUUUUAUGCGGUGAAUGUCAGUAACAAAAGAGCAGGCCACCCUCAGAUUAGUGGUAAUGUGGUGGAUAAGGACACUCCAGAUCCCAGAAGUGUGGAACAAUUGGUUGUUGUUCUCAUGGAGUUAAUGUUACAGCUUGUCUUGCCUUGACUUUCUGUAAUGUGGGGUGAGAAAGAGGUAUCUGAAGAGAGAUGGGAACACCUGGCUGAUCGAGGUCAGAGGAGCCAGAUGACACCUGUGGAAUUCAGCCCCCAAACACCUGGAUAGAGUCUGGACUCGUGUGGUGACUUUAAUUGGCUGUAGGAGGUUGCGGUUCGAGACGUAAGGACGCCCGACAUGACUGCUAUGGAAAUAGCACGUUAUGAGUGAAGGAAAGCCUUACUCAUACACUGCGCACAGAGAGGUCUCCAUAGCUGUGUCAUCAACGUGCAAGACUCUCAGCUGAGAGAAUGGGCUCUCCACAGCCAGUAAAUGACCCCACCCAGCUGGUCUCUGCUGUCCUCAUCCAAAAUCCUUCCCUCUCCACCUCCCACUAACAUCAUCAGCAUGGACUGCACCACAACUGAGAGACAUGGAAGCAAUUAUAGCAGCAGGCACGGGAACAUAAAGUAUAGGCAGGGUGAAGUCAAAUCUGAGCAACCUAAGAAAAGGCUCUGUUUAAGUCUGCGAGGGCACUGAUCAUUGAUUCAGGAGGCUGUCAGGAUGGGUGGUGUUACAAUAAAGAAAAACUGGAGGUGGUGGUGAGAACAAUAGUAUCAAAUUUUCUGUGCCUCUUUGUAAAGUCCUAUAAAAAUAACCCUACUGAUGUAAUUAGGGUUAUCUCAACUUUGGGCUAGGAGCCAUCAAAUUUUCAACAGAACACAGCCGUUACAAACUGGGGGCGGGAGUUUGAAAGACGUGGGCGGUACCAGGCAUGGAGGGUGUAACGAAAGAUACUGUCAAAUUAUGGUAAAUAGAGGAUCCAGAGUUUAGGAGCUUGACUCAGCUCACUGACUAAAUGUCAGGAUAUGUCAGUUUCUGCAGAAUUGAUUGACCAUUUUUUAUUUAAAUAUGUUUCUUCCAAGUCCCUCAAUUGUGGCAGGAAUGGAAGUGCAGCAUAUGAGAUAUUGUCACAUUGAUGGAUAGCAUCAGAAUUUUCAAGUCUGUCUCAAAACUCAGGUACCCUAUGUACUGUACAUUAAAACAAUUUUUUACUUGCCGUAACCAUUCCUCCUGCUCUGGCCAUUAAAAGAUGAACUUCCACUGUAAAUGAUGGGGGACAAAAUCCACAGUCCUUGUUCCAUGCAAAAAUAUAUUCCGAAUUAUAUCUCAAGUUAACAUGAGGCUUCAGUAGUCCGAGUUAGACAAUUCAAGUAAGUAUCUUCUAUAGUUAUGUUACUAUCUCACCACCAUGGCUCAACAAGGAAACACUUUGGAAGACACCAAAUUCAAUUGAUUAACUUAACCUGCUGAAGCUUUUUAUUAAUUUAAGAUAAAAUUUUAGUAUAUACCAUAUUUUUUCACAGAAUGAGGACUGUGGAUUUUGUCUCCCAUCUUUUCCACUGGCAGUGUGUAAGGAAGGGAUCUUUUAAUGGCUAGCAUGGAUGAGAGGACGGAUUACAGUGCAGCAAACUAACCAGUUUCAGUGUCUAUAUGGGCAUGUGAGUAUUGUUUUAAGACAGUGACCCUAUUCUGCAAACCAUUUAUACAUUUCCAUUUUUUUUCCAAAGCAUGCCAUUAAUUUUCAGACUGACUUCAGUUCAGUCUAAUAUAGUAUGUACUUUAUAUCAGCCAAAAGCAGUUAAAUGUUACUGAAUACCCAUCCCAGGACUGUUUGUGGGUCUUCAUACUGAAAUGGCUUGACCUGAAACUGCCUAUAAUGAAAGCAUAUUAAUGUAGGAACUUGUGGUAUGCUUUGGAAAUGGUCAACAGUAAUGUAAAGUAUAUGCAAUUUGUAGUUAAUGGGCAAAAAAAUGCAAGGCCAAUGAUGUGGUCCAUGAAAUCACUUUUUGUUUCUGGAUGCACACCAGCGGCUUUGAUUCUCACAAGAUCCAUGUAAUUAUUUCUGAAUCCAGAUGAUAAUUUUUCUCACCACUUACUUCUCACAGACUCACAGACCAUUUUCUGUGAUCCUCCCAAAAUACCAGCACUAUAUUUUUUUUCUUCUGGCCUUCCACCCAAGCAGGGGAGGUCACUACCGUUCACAUCACUUGGGGUAUUACAAGACAACAAGGUAUUUCUUCCAAGAGUAACCUAACUCCUCAGUGGCUGUGGUUCGGCCAGAUCCUGAUGAGCUGAGGUGGGUCUGUCCAAAAGAGCUGGACGCGCCCAUGACAGCAGCUCCUCAGGGAGUCCACCCCUCCUUGUUACUCAUGGAAACCAACAUGUUUGCUGGGAGACUCAAAUAUUCCAGGCUGUCCAUGUCCCCCAGUUGCAGGGGUGGGACAGCAGGGGGACAGCUGUGGAUUUAUGCAUUAUAUAUACUGUAUGUGCAUUAUGUGUGUGACUCAAAGUGAAUGAGACAGGCUGAGGGAUGGGGGCUGUGUUGUAAAAGGGAAAUUUCUGCCUUAACAGCUCCCGUACCUAGGCAGAACGCACGCAGAGGUCUGCGCCAAAUCGUUAAUAGAAACCAGACAUAAAGGCGUAUGAGGAGUGAGGCUUUCACUGCACAGCUCCAGAGGGAACCACUGGAGGAGUGACGGUGGAGAGGAGGAGGAGGAGGUGGGAAGUAGGCAAAAAAAAAGAAAGGAAGACACAAAGACAGAAGAGAAACAAAGAAAGAACUGGAUGGAUAACAAACUUUUAACCGUUAUUUGCCCUCGGAGGCAGGCUGAGAUGGGACCGUUGACUCCCUAUUUGUAUCUGAGAUUUCUCCAUCCACUCGCAGGAUGAAUACUACUGACUGAUAAGGGGGAAGCCAGCAUAGCACUUAACUGAGAUAAUUCUUUAAAACUGAGCCUGCUGUAUCUGUGUGAAGAUACGCCACUGCUUGACAUCUUAUUGAUUUGACUUAAAGGAUAAAGCACCUAAACACAACCACAUGCACACACACGCUGUAGAUAACCACCCAGCUUCAACUUUAAAACUCACUGACAGCUUAUUGAAACAUAGCCAGCAGUGUGGUAGAAAAUAAACAUGGACAUGGACAAAAUGUAAAAACUUUAGUAUGGUGUAAUAGUGUUUUUUUUUAAUUUGACAAACUAUGUCUGAAAUGGGAAUAGAGUGGGAACAAUUGGAGUACUUGUGUAAUUUGGGACACUGGGACGUCAGAUCAGAUGAUUCAUGCUCAUAAUUUUGUGAAUCAGAUGUUUUCUCAAGACCACCAGACCUUUUGCCCUCUGUACAGCUGCCUUUCCUCUCCUCUCCUUUCGUUUCCUCUCCUCUCCUCUCCUCUCCUCUCCUGGAGAAAUUCCGGUCAUGUGUGAGGCAUCCAGCUAGUGAGAACAGAGGCUCCACUUCAGUCUUUUUCUGACUGUACUGUAUGCCAGGUCAUAAGGACGAACAGUGCGUACCAGUGAGUGGGGAAAGCACUGAUAAACGGUACUGAGAAAUACGCUGCCUUAUUUAGAAUCACAGUUGGAAGAGGGUUUGAGUCACAAGGCAUCUGCAGCACAGUCUCUCCAAAGGAAAUUUAUUAGGGAGAAUGAAUCAGCAUUUAAGCACAAAUGUCAGGUGUUGGUGUUUAUGCUCCGGAGACUCUGUAUGAGAUAGAUGUAUUACCAUGAAUGGUCAAUUCUCUCUCGGAGUGAGACAUUUAGUCUCCAGGUGGUGGCAAUGAAUCAGCAUCCAGAACAGUGCUGUCACUUCCCAAAUGACUCUGAGAGACUUGAAACAUAAGUGUCAUGUUUUAGUUGAUUUUCGUUUUGAACAAUCUGCAAUAUAAUGAUGAAAUGAUUGAGAAUGAGUGGGGGUUUGGGCUUCAACAAACAAACAUAACUGAGCUGGUCUGCUUUAUUGCAUCUCACUAAUUCUCAUUCAGACUCAGUGGCUGUCUUCUUCUCUCCUGCUUACCUAAUUAUAAAUGGGCAUGCAACUGGAAAACAAGGUCACUCUCUGAGCCACAGGGUGUAGCAUAUUGCUACUAAUGAAAAGUUGGUGAUGAUUUGUUGCUGUCUACUCUGCCUUUGUAUAUAAAGACAGAAAUGUUGUGUAUUAAAUGUUCUUAUUUAGCAAGUGAA